GAGGCUGAUGAGGAGGAUUUUGAUGGGGAUGAAGAUGAUGAAGAGAAGGGAUCUGAAGAUGAUGAGGAUGGCGACCAAGAUGAUGAUGAAGAGGAGGAUGAUGAGGAUGAUAGUUAAUCCCUUGUAGCUUCUUUCAUUUUGGCUUCCACCACUUGCUGUGGCGAGUGCAAGGCAAGCUUAUGACUAUUGAAGGGCUCUUGACUCAAGCGGGCUGACUUUCGAUCAUGCUUUAAGCUUUGUAGUUGUCAAUUUUUGUACUUGGGGAGUUUCAUGAGCCCUAGUUAUAGCUGGGGGCGUGUCUAAAGCUAGGAGUUUAUUUACUGAUGUGGGUAUUAAAUGUUUGAUCUUGGACUUAUAGCAUCUCCGUAUCAAGAAUCCAGGACUUUGUAUGGGCAGCUGCUGCAUCAUUUUUUAUGAACUUGUUUAGUUUUACAUCAAUUUAAUCUGA
Molecule: non-coding RNA, 448 nt
Organism: Phoenix dactylifera (date palm)
Lineage: Eukaryota; Viridiplantae; Streptophyta; Magnoliopsida; Arecales; Arecaceae
Source: RefSeq, a predicted model, not a curated record